This 466-nucleotide ribosomal RNA is filed under the name uncultured Anaerolineaceae bacterium. Its description in RNAcentral is "bacterial SSU rRNA". It matches the Rfam family "Bacterial small subunit ribosomal RNA", at positions 902 to 1382 of the family's 1533-position model. Lineage: Bacteria; Bacillati; Chloroflexota; Anaerolineae; Anaerolineales; Anaerolineaceae. The record is from RNAcentral.
CAAAUGAAUUGACGGGGACCCGCACAAGCAGCGGAGCGUGUGGUUUAAUUCGUUGCUACACGAAGAACCUUAUCUGGGUUUGACAUAUAGGUUGUAGGGAACUGAAAAGGGACCGACCCUUCGGGGAGCCUAUACAGGUGUUGCAUGGCUGUCGUCAGCUCGUGUCGUGAGAUGUUCGGUUAAGUCCGCUAACGAGCGCAACCCUCGUCGUAUGUUAUAUGUGUCAUACGAGACUGCCGGUAAAAGCCGGAGGAAGGUGAGGAUGAUGUCAAGUCAGCAUGACCUUUAUAUCCAGGGCUACACACACGCUACAAUGGUCUGUACAAUGGGUAGCCAAGCCGCGAGGCGGAGCCAAUCCUGAAAGCAGGCCUCAGUUCAGAUUGCAGUCUGCAACUCGACUGCAUGAAGCCGGAGUUGCUAGUAACCGCAGGUCAGCAAUACUGCGGUGAAUACGUUCCCGGGUCUU